UACGUAGGGUGCAAGCGUUGUCCGGAAUUAUUGGGCGUAAAGAGCUCGUAGGCGGUGUGUCGCGUCGGCCGUGAAAACCUGCAGCUUAACUGUGGGCUUGCGGUCGAUACGGGCAUCACUGGAGUUCGGCAGGGGGAGACUGGAAUUCCUGGUGUAGCGGUGAAAUGCACAGAUAUCAGGAGGAACACCGGUGGCGAAGGCGGGUCUCUGGGCCGAUACUGACGCUGAGGAGCGAAAGCGUGGGGAGCGAACAGG
Molecule: ribosomal RNA, 255 nt
Filed under: uncultured bacterium
Lineage: Bacteria
Description: partial 16S ribosomal RNA
Rfam family: Bacterial small subunit ribosomal RNA
Source: RNAcentral